Molecule: transfer-messenger RNA, 373 nt
Filed under: Chitinophagaceae bacterium
Lineage: Bacteria; Pseudomonadati; Bacteroidota; Chitinophagia; Chitinophagales; Chitinophagaceae
Rfam family: transfer-messenger RNA
About the family: Bacterial tmRNA, also known as 10Sa RNA or SsrA, is named for its dual tRNA and mRNA-like properties. Its role is to liberate the mRNA from a stalled ribosome. To accomplish this part of the tmRNA is used as a reading frame that ends in a translation stop signal.
Source: RNAcentral
GGGGCUGUACUGGUUUCGACAGCAAAGUUCUUUGUAGGUAUAAGCAUGCAGUGCGUUGGAUAAUUAGCACUUAAAUCUGAAUAUUCAAAACCCAAAUGGCAAUACUCAGUAUGCCAUGGCUGCUUAAUCAGUGAUUAAGUAACCAUUCGGGCCGUGAAACAGGUUGUCCUGUUACCAAGUUUCGCCGCCGACUCAAACUAAACACAGGAUGCUGUUUCAGAAGGCUGUGACUGCGACAAAAGACUAUUCAGCUAAGGUUAAAAUUGGUUUGUUCACUUCCGGUUUUUCCUCGACAAUUAAUAAUGAACUAAGCAUGUAGAAGACUUAUGGCGGAUUUGUUUGGACAGGGGUUCGACUCCCCUCAGCUCCACCC